This 74-nucleotide ribosomal RNA is filed under the name Corynebacterium diphtheriae. RNAcentral's name for it is "partial 16S ribosomal RNA". It matches the Rfam family "Bacterial small subunit ribosomal RNA", at positions 1 to 74 of the family's 1533-position model. RNAcentral also lists the same sequence under 1 other name. The record is from RNAcentral. Lineage: Bacteria; Bacillati; Actinomycetota; Actinomycetes; Mycobacteriales; Corynebacteriaceae.
UUUAUGGAGAGUUUGAUCCUGGCUCAGGACGAACGCUGGCGGCGUGCUUAACACAUGCAAGUCGAACGGAAAGG